RNAcentral lists this ribosomal RNA (500 nucleotides) under uncultured bacterium. RNAcentral describes it as "partial 16S ribosomal RNA". It matches the Rfam family "Bacterial small subunit ribosomal RNA", at positions 30 to 523 of the family's 1533-position model. The record is from RNAcentral.
AUUGAACGCUGGCGGCUUGCCUUACACAUGCAAGUCGAACGGCAGCACGGGAGCAAUCCUGGUGGCGAGUGGCGAACGGGUGAGUAAUAUAUCGGAACGUGCCCAGUCGUGGGGGAUAACGCAGCGAAAGCUGUGCUAAUACCGCAUACGAUCUAUGGAUGAAAGCGGGGGAUCGCAAGACCUCGCGCGAUUGGAGAGGCCGAUAUCAGAUUAGCUAGUUGGUGGGGUAAAGGCCCACCAAGGCGACGAUCUGUAGCUGGUCUGAGAGGACGACCAGCCACACUGGAACUGAGACACGGUCCAGACUCCUACGGGAGGCAGCAGUGGGGAAUUUUGGACAAUGGGCGCAAGCCUGAUCCAGCAAUGCCGCGUGCAGGAUGAAGGCCUUCGGGUUGUAAACUGCUUUUGUACGGAACGAAACGGUCCUUUCUAAUACAGAGGGCUAAUGACGGUACCGUAAGAAUAAGCACCGGCUAACUACGUGCCAGCAGCCGCCGUAA